GGCUAUGAAAGCCUUCUGCUGCGCUGCUUUCAAACACAUCUAUGCCGGUGGCCACAGCAGCUUUUGCUCCACCUGCGCCGUGGCUAGGGAGUGGGGAUUGUUGAUGCCAGAGGGGGCAGGUGGACUGGCAGUGGGACAUAGGACACUGCAGUAAAAGAACCAAUUAGCUCCUCAAGCUAUGAAUUAAGUAGGAGCAAUUCUUUGGGUUUAAUUACCCCUACUAGAAGCAAUCAACAGGAGUCAAUUGACCUUGGAUUUGAACACCCCUGAUGAAGUCAUUUUCGACGAAACACAUUGGAGGCCAUGCAUUCUGUUAGAUCGGAGGUCAACAAAGACUUUUUGCCCACUAAGACAAACACACUGAUAACAAACAAACUGUGAUAUUGCCCAUGGAAGAGUCUGCCUAAUAAGGCUGAAGAAGAGGAAGACAUGGUCACUCUACAACUGAUGCCUGUGUCCCCACCCAUGCGCGAUGGCCAGGAGCAAUCAGCUGACACCACUGAGGCUGCAGCACAACUGACACCCGGAAGUGAUGCAGCAGUUGAAAUUCUGGAGGGCAUUGCGGCAUUUGAGUGAACACAGGUGGAGUUCAUGGCCACACAAAUGCAGCAAACCAAACCAAAUGAGCACACAAUUAAAGGCUAUUAAACCAUA
This is a long non-coding RNA of Pseudophryne corroboree (corroboree frog), 654 nucleotides long. RefSeq lists it as uncharacterized. The record is from RefSeq and is a predicted model, not a curated record. The transcript is spliced from 3 exons. NCBI's taxonomy places the organism in Eukaryota, Metazoa, Chordata, Amphibia, Anura, Myobatrachidae.